AAACAUCGCCUCUUGAUCUAUAAAUAUAAGAGGUCUCGCCUGCCCAGUGACUAAAUGUUAAACGGCCGUGGUAUCUUAACCAUGCGAAGGUAGCGUAAUCACUUGUCUUUUAAAUGAAGACCUGUAUGAAUGGCAAAACGAGGGCUUAACUGUCUCCCUUCCCCAGUCAAUGAAAUUGACCUCCCCGUGCAGAGGCGGGGAUAAACAUAUAAGACGAGAAGACCCUGUGGAGCUUUAGACUUAAAAUAACCACGUUAAACAAACUCCAACAUGAGAAAAAACCUAGUGAGCUUUAUUUAAAUGUCUUUGGUUGGGGUGACCGCGGGGCAAAACACAGCCCCCAUGAAGAUAGGGGAGAUAUCCCUAACACUAAGAGUUACCCCUCUAAGCAACAAAAAUUUUGACUUUAAAAAUGAUCCGGUUUA
RNAcentral lists this ribosomal RNA (425 nucleotides) under Coryphaenoides filifer (filamented rattail). RNAcentral describes it as "partial 16S ribosomal RNA". It matches the Rfam family "Bacterial large subunit ribosomal RNA", at positions 1811 to 2427 of the family's 2925-position model. The record is from RNAcentral. Lineage: Eukaryota; Metazoa; Chordata; Actinopteri; Gadiformes; Macrouridae.